CAGCCUACGGGACGCAGCAGUGAGGAAUAUUGGUCAAUGGGCUUACGCCUGAACCAGCCAAGUCGCGUGAGGGAAGACUGCCCUAUGGGUUGUAAACCUCUUUUGCCAGGGGACAAAGGCGGCCACGGGUGGCCGUAAGAGGGUACCUGGAGAAAAAGCAUCGGCUAACUCCGUGCCAGCAGCCGCGGUAAUACGGAGGAUGCGAGCGUUAUCCGGAUUUAUUGGGUUUAAAGGGUGCGCAGGCGGCGUGUCAAGUCAGCGGUAAAAUGUCGGGGCUCAACCCCGGCCGGCCGUUGAAACUGGCG
Molecule: ribosomal RNA, 305 nt
Filed under: uncultured bacterium
Lineage: Bacteria
Description: bacterial SSU rRNA
Rfam family: Bacterial small subunit ribosomal RNA
Source: RNAcentral